This 636-nucleotide ribosomal RNA is filed under the name Triticum aestivum (bread wheat). RNAcentral's name for it is "partial small subunit ribosomal RNA". Lineage: Eukaryota; Viridiplantae; Streptophyta; Magnoliopsida; Poales; Poaceae. The record is from RNAcentral.
AUGGUGAUGGAUGACCACCAACUCCGGCUACUCCAGAUCCCUCCGCCUAUCCACCCCGAGGAUCCGGAUUCUCCUCUCCCGGAGACCAUCGUCAUCGACUCGUUCGGCUACCUCAGUGACCGCACCAACGCCACCACCGCCAGUGGCCGCAGGAGCAGGACCAAGAAGAAGGGCAAGCGCAUCCUGGUCACCUUCUGGCCGGCUGCCCCACCGCGCGUCUCCUGCUUCACCGUCCAUUGCCCAGAUCUGAAGCCCGAUGCAUUCGCUGACAUGCCCAAGAUCUCCUAUACGGAGGAUGGCCUCGUCCUGCUCAGCAUCACCAUCUGCCCCGUGCGCCAGCACAUGUACACCGAGAACAUCUGCUACUUCGUCUACCAGGCCGGCACCAAGAAGACGCCGCCGUCGGUCAAGCUCGUCCACUCUCCCCCCUACUUCAGGAUCCACGACCAAGAGGUUGCCUUACUGCACUGCCACGACCAAGAGAUGUUCUUCAUCGCCGUGCUCCGCAGGGCCUUCAUUGAUCGGGAGUACACCGAUGGGCACUUUAAUCUCCACCUCUACAACUCCAAGACAAAGGCAUGGAGCAUCAAGUUGAUGCAUCUUGAUUCGCCAAGGAUUUUGAGUUCCACUCUCUGA